GGGGAUAUAGCUCAGUCGGUAGAGCGCCGCCCUUGCAUGGCGGAUGCCAGCGGUUCGAGUCCGCUUAUCUCCA
This 73-nucleotide transfer RNA is filed under the name Gastoniella chaerophylla. RNAcentral's name for it is "Anogramma chaerophylla tRNA-Ala". It matches the Rfam family "tRNA". Rfam says of the family: Transfer RNA (tRNA) molecules are approximately 80 nucleotides in length. Their secondary structure includes four short double-helical elements and three loops (D, anti-codon, and T loops). The record is from RNAcentral. Lineage: Eukaryota; Viridiplantae; Streptophyta; Polypodiopsida; Polypodiales; Pteridaceae.